UUAGCUCAUAUUUGUAUGGAAUGGGAUCGUUUGCCUACGUUUGCCGUUAGGGGCGCUGUUCCAACUGCAUACAAAAUUGGGCUA
RNAcentral lists this microRNA precursor (84 nucleotides) under Bombyx mori (domestic silkworm). RNAcentral's name for it is "mir-2807 microRNA precursor family". It matches the Rfam family "mir-2807 microRNA precursor family". The record is from Rfam by way of RNAcentral. Lineage: Eukaryota; Metazoa; Arthropoda; Insecta; Lepidoptera; Bombycidae.